CCAGCAGCUGCGGUAAUUCCAGCUCCAAUAGCGUAUAUUAAAGUUGUUGCAGUUAAAAAGCUCGUAGUUGGAUUUCUGGCAGGAGCGGCCGGUCUCACACUCUGUGUGAGAACUCGUGUUGUCUCUGGCCAUCCUUGGGGAGAUCCUGUUUGGCAUUAAGUUGUCGGGCAGGGGAUACCCAUCGUUUACUGUGAAAAAAUUAGAGUGUUUAAAGCAGGCUUAUGCCGUUGAAUAUAUUAGCAUGGAAUAAUAAGAUAGGACUUUGGUACUAUUUUGUUGGUUUGUGCACCAGAGUAAUGAUUAAUAGGGACAGUCGGGGGCAUUCGUAUUUCAUUGUCAGAGGUGAAAUUCUUGGAUUUAUGAAAGACGAACUACUGCGAAAGCAUUUGCCAAGGAUGUUUUCAUUAAUCAAGAACGAAAGU
Molecule: ribosomal RNA, 422 nt
Filed under: uncultured eukaryote
Lineage: Eukaryota
Description: SSU rRNA
Rfam family: Eukaryotic small subunit ribosomal RNA
Source: RNAcentral